Molecule: long non-coding RNA, 1185 nt
Filed under: Androctonus crassicauda
Lineage: Eukaryota; Metazoa; Arthropoda; Arachnida; Scorpiones; Buthidae
Source: RNAcentral
UUUCAUUUUUUUAUUUGAAAAAUUAUGCAAAUGCCAUAAUGUCCAUUGGCCAUAAAUGUCAUAUCUGUAAUAAUUAUUCGGCUUUGAUGCUUUUACCAAAACAAUUAAUCCGUAUUGUUUUUCUUCACAGCAUACGAUGCAAAUUUUCCUCUUUCAUUAAAGAAAACGAAUCCUUUUACUGUGGCCAUUUUCCAUCUUAUUUACCAUUCGUAUCGAAUCUGCUGUGCCCGUUUCACCCUAAAUUGUCAUUGAUGGUGCUAAGAAACGCUGUUUUGAUUUUUUAUGUUUAAUCUGUAUACAUCAUUAACUCCAUAGUUGUCUUCGUUUUUUUUUUGUAUGCGCAUAAAGAGAAGCGAGCAUCAAUAGUUAAAAUCAGUCUGGCUUCGAUUUUAGUGUCAAUGGUGGUGAAUAAGAUGUCAGACUGUCUUUCGACAACUAAAAAUUCUCGAUAGCAAACGCUCAAUCAUCAUAAUUUUCACGCGUUUUUGGCUUACAGACAUUAGUGAAGUAAUUUGCAGCCGUUCUUGCAUAAGUCGUUAUAUCAAGAUUCAAGAUCUGGGCCCAUAACCUGUUAAGAAAAGACAGAACACGUGUCCAGCUUUUGGUAGAAACUAUUCUUCAUGGGUUUCUUUGUUAGACGCUUCGUCUGUACCGUGUAGAGAGCGCCAUUAUGCGGAAUACAAUAGGAAGAUUUAACGUUUACGAUUUACUUUGACACCGAUACCAGCCUACUGUUAAAAACUAACCAACAUGGUUUUAAAGAAUUAAUUGUUAUUUUAUUGUCCCUACCAAAUUUAUGGCGGAAAAUUGGAAAGAACCUCCAGACUGAUUUUCGAUAGUUCGGGCUACAUUUUCCACCGGGAUGACUGUGUUUGCUUCUAUUUAACGCGUCAAUCACAAUCGGUAUCUACCGCUAGUUUGUAAAUGAAUUCCAUGGGCGCUAGUAGAUUGCUGAUAAGUUUUAUUAGGUCCACCCAUUGGUGAUGCCGGGGCAGGUGGAUUAAAAUGGAAAUUCAGGACCGGGAAACUAUCCAAUACCUGGGACGGACGGCCAGCUUUCCUCUUUGGAAUAUUCGUAGCCAUUCGAAAUUACUGUUCAAUUUUCCUAUUUUACCCAUUAUCUUUCAGGUCUUCGCGCCAUAGACGAUCUGUCCACUAACACUUUACAGACCAGCAGCGGAAAUU